This is a non-coding RNA of Leucoagaricus sp. SymC.cos, 93 nucleotides long. The record is from Rfam. NCBI's taxonomy places the organism in Eukaryota, Fungi, Basidiomycota, Agaricomycetes, Agaricales, Agaricaceae.
GGGCACUUGGCCUAGUGGUAUGGCGUAUGCUUUGCACAUAAGCACUGCUUAUAAAAAUGUAUAAGGUCGUGGGUUCAAUCCCCACAGUGUCCA